Molecule: ribosomal RNA, 484 nt
Filed under: uncultured bacterium
Lineage: Bacteria
Description: partial 16S ribosomal RNA
Rfam family: Bacterial small subunit ribosomal RNA
Source: RNAcentral
AUUGAACGCUGGCGGCAGGCCUAACACAUGCAAGUCGAGCGGAUGAAGGGAGCUUGCUCCUGGAUUCAGCGGCGGACGGGUGAGUAAUGCCUAGGAAUCUGCCUGGUAGUAGGGGAUAACGUCCGGAAACGGGCGCUAAUACCGCAUACGUCCUGAGGGUGAAAGUGGAGGAUCUUCUGACCUCACGCUAUCAGAGGAGCCUAGGUCGGAUUAGCUAGUUGGUGGGGUAAAGGCCUACCAAGGCUACGAUCCGUAACUGCCAUGAGAGGGAGGUCAGUCACCCUGGCUGUGAGACUGGGCCCAGACUCUGACGGGAGGCAGCAGCGCGGACUACUGCACGAUGGGCGAAAGCCUGAUACAGCCCUGCCGAGGGUGCGCAGAAGGUCUUCCGAUUGUAAAGCACAUUAAGUUGGGAGGAAGGGCAGUAAGUUAAUACCUUGCUGUUUUGACGGUACCAACAGAAUAAGCACCGGCUAACUUCGUG